AACGAACGCUGGCGGCAGGCCUAACACAUGCAAGUCGAGCGAGACCUUCGGGUCUAGUGGCGCACGGGCGAGUAACGCGUGGGAAUGUGCCCUUAUCUUCGGAAUAACUCUCGGAAACUGGUACUAAUACCGUAUACUCUCUUCGGACGAAAGAUUUAUCGCCUUUGGAUGGGCCCGCGUUGGAUUAGCUAGUUGGUGGGGUAAAGGCCUACCAAGCCGACGAUCCAUAGCUGGUCUGAGAGGAUGAUCAGCCACACUGGGACUGAGACACGGCCCAGACUCCUACGGGAGGCAGCAGUGGGGAAUAUUAGACAAUGGGGGAAAGCCUGAUCUAGCAAUGCCGCGUGAGUGAUGAAGGCCUUAGGGUUGUAAAGCUCUUUCAGCUGGGAAGAUAAUGACGGUACCAGCAGAAGAAGCCCCGGCUAACUCCGUG
Molecule: ribosomal RNA, 433 nt
Filed under: uncultured bacterium
Lineage: Bacteria
Description: partial 16S ribosomal RNA
Rfam family: Bacterial small subunit ribosomal RNA
Source: RNAcentral